RNAcentral lists this ribosomal RNA (301 nucleotides) under uncultured bacterium. RNAcentral describes it as "partial 16S ribosomal RNA". It matches the Rfam family "Bacterial small subunit ribosomal RNA", at positions 509 to 809 of the family's 1533-position model. The record is from RNAcentral.
CAGUAGCCGCGGUAAUACGAGGGGGGCAAGCGUUGUUCGGAAUUAUUGGGCGUAAAGGGUGCGUAGGCGGUUUGACAAGUCUUAUGUGAAAUCUUCGGGCUCAACCCGAAGUCUGCAUGGGAAACUGUCGGGCUUGAGUAUGGGAGAGGUGAGUGGAAUUUCCGGUGUAGCGGUGAAAUGCGUAGAUAUCGGAAGGAACACCUGUGGCGAAAGCGGCUCACUGGACCAUAACUGACGCUGAUGCACGAAAGCUAGGGGAGCAAACAGGAUUAGAUACCCCCGUAGUCCCUGUCUCUUAUAU